RNAcentral lists this ribosomal RNA (445 nucleotides) under uncultured bacterium. Its description in RNAcentral is "partial 16S ribosomal RNA". It matches the Rfam family "Bacterial small subunit ribosomal RNA", at positions 354 to 796 of the family's 1533-position model. The record is from RNAcentral.
GUGGGGAAUAUUGGACAAUGGGCGCAAGCCUGAUCCAGCCAUGCCGCGUGCAGGAAGACGCAUCUAUGGUGCGUAAACUGCUUUUGUACGGGAAGAAACACUCCCUCGUGAGGGAGCUUGACGGUACCGUAAGAAUAAGGAUCGGCUAACUCCGUGCCAGCAGCCGCGGUAAUACGGAGGAUCCAAGCGUUAUCCGGAAUCAUUGGGUUUAAAGGGUCCGUAGGCGGUUUAAUAAGUCAGUGGUGAAAGCCCAUCGCUCAACGAUGGAACGGCCAUUGAUACUGUUAGACUUGAAUUACAAGGAAGUAACUAGAAUAUGUAGUGUAGCGGUGAAAUGCUUAGAUAUUACAUGGAAUACCAAUUGCGAAGGCAGGUUACUACUUGUGGAUUGACGCUGAUGGACGAAAGCGUGGGGAGCGAACAGGAUUAGAAACCCUAGUAGUCC